GUCUUCUUGUAAUAUUUAGGAAGUCUGACCUGCCCAGUGAAAAUUAAAUUUAACGGCCGCGGUAUUCUGACCGUGCAAAGGUAGCAUAAUCAUUAGUCUUUUAAUAGAGGGCUGGAAUGAAGGGUUUGACGAGGUGUUGACUGUCUCAUUUAAUUUGAAUUUAGAAUUUAACUUUUUAGUCAAAAGGCUGAAAUAGUAUUGGAAGACGAGAAGACCCUAUAGAGCUUUAUAAUGUUUUUAUUAAUAAAUUUUGGUAAAUGAUUAUUUAUUAUUAUAAUCUAUUAUUUUGUUGGGGUGACAAAAAUAUAUAAUGAACUUUUUUAUUUAUUUAACAUUGAUUUAUGAUUAUUAGAUCCAAUUUUAUUGAUUAUUAGAACAAGUUACCUUAGGGAUAACAGCGUAAUCUUCUUUCAGAGUUCAUAUUUACAAGAAGGCUUGCGACCUCGAUGUUGGAUUAAGAUGAUAAUUAGGUGUAGCUGCUUAAUGUAUAGGUCUGUUCGACCUUUAAAUUCUU
RNAcentral lists this ribosomal RNA (514 nucleotides) under Epiophlebia superstes. RNAcentral's name for it is "partial 16S rRNA". It matches the Rfam family "Bacterial large subunit ribosomal RNA", at positions 1819 to 2597 of the family's 2925-position model. The record is from RNAcentral. Lineage: Eukaryota; Metazoa; Arthropoda; Insecta; Odonata; Epiophlebiidae.